UCUUUGGUCUCCAGCAUCUCCUUCUGAAUCACUAUGUCAGCUUUGCAAAGAGAAGGGAGAGGAAGAAGUGAUCUGCAACAGCCAAAAAAGCUUGGUGGAGUGGAUGGAAGAUGAAUGACAGCAGUUGCAAUGCAGCCUUGGGGAACGGCUCCAGAGCUGUUCUUAACAACUCCUUUACCUCUAAGCCAGGUAA
Molecule: non-coding RNA, 193 nt
Organism: Coturnix japonica (Japanese quail)
Lineage: Eukaryota; Metazoa; Chordata; Aves; Galliformes; Phasianidae
Source: RefSeq, a predicted model, not a curated record